CUUAAAAUAAGAUUCACUGGAGUCAUGAGCGCACCCGGGCUCCCCAGAAAACUCUGAGUUCAGGCCUCCUGCUGAGGAGGGAGCUGCUCUGAGUGGUACAGGUCGAACUUGGAGCCUCGGCCCCUCCCCAGCCCCAGGAGCUCAUCCCUGCCUCCCCAUCCCGCCGCCUGCAGGGUCAGCCAGCAGCCGGCCCGGGGCGUCGGCCACCCCACCCAAGUCCCCGGUCUACCUGGACCUGGCCUACCUGCCCAGCGGGAGCAGCGCCCACCUGGUGGAUGAGGAGUUCUUCCAGCGCGUGCGCGCGCUCUGCUACGUCAUCAGUGGCCAGGACCAGCGCAAGGAGGAGGGCAUGCGGGCCGUCCUGGACGCGCUACUGGCCAGCAAGCAGCAUUGGGACCGUGACCUGCAGGUGACCCUGAUCCCCACUUUCGACUCGGUGGCCAUGCAUACGUGGUACGCAGAGACGCACGCCCGGCACCAGGCGCUGGGCAUCACGGUGUUGGGCAGCAACAGCAUGGUGUCCAUGCAGGAUGACGCCUUCCCGGCCUGCAAGGUGGAGUUCUAGCCCCGUCGCCGACACGCCCCCCACUCAGCCCAGCCCACCCUGUCCCUAGAUUCAGCCACAUCAGAAAUAAACCGUGACUACACUUG
Molecule: small RNA, 651 nt
Filed under: Pongo abelii (Sumatran orangutan)
Lineage: Eukaryota; Metazoa; Chordata; Mammalia; Primates; Hominidae
Description: retained intron
Source: RNAcentral